UUUCGCAAUGCCCGAAAGGGUGACGAAGCGACGCCGCGUGCGGGAAGAAGGCCUUCGGGUUGUAAACCGCUGUCGGGAGUUAAGAAAUGUAAGGAUGUUAAUAGCAUCUUUGCUUGACUAAGGCUCCGGAGGAAGCCACGGCUAACUCUGUGCCAGCAGCCGCGGUAAUACAGAGGCGGCAAGCGUUGUUCGGAAUUAUUGGGCGUAAAGAGCACGUAGGCGGCUAUGUAAGUCGGUUGUGAAAGCCUUCCGCUCAACGGGAGAACAGCAUCCGAUACUGCAUGGCUUGAGUGCGGGAGGGGAGAGUGGAACUUCUGGUGGAGCGGUGAAAUGCGUAGAUAUCAGAAGGAACGCCGGCGGCGAAAGCGGCUCUCUGGCCCAUAACUGACGCUGAGUGUGCGAAAGCUAGGGGAGCAAACGGGAUUAGAUACUCCGGUAGUCCUAGCCGUAAACGAUGGGCACUAAGUAGAGGGGUUUUAAUCUC
RNAcentral lists this ribosomal RNA (484 nucleotides) under uncultured bacterium. RNAcentral describes it as "bacterial SSU rRNA". It matches the Rfam family "Bacterial small subunit ribosomal RNA", at positions 364 to 841 of the family's 1533-position model. The record is from RNAcentral.